This is a long non-coding RNA of Nicotiana tabacum (common tobacco), 1255 nucleotides long. RefSeq lists it as uncharacterized. NCBI's taxonomy places the organism in Eukaryota, Viridiplantae, Streptophyta, Magnoliopsida, Solanales, Solanaceae. The record is from RefSeq and is a predicted model, not a curated record.
GUCUUCUUAAUAACGGUCUGAUCUGAUACUAGGAAGAUUAACAAAAAACAGAAUCAGUCUAAUCUAACUGUCCCUUGAAAGGAUGAACAGUUUAAUUUCAAGUAGUUUUGAGUCGGGAAGCAACCUGUUAUCUAUGAAUAGGCGAGAUCAAACUGCUAUAUAUAGAUUGUUUUGCCUAUAUAUUUAUUAUGGUCAACUUGUAGACAUCAGCGGAAAACCAUCAUCUCUAUCCGGCGAGUACAAUCAUAUCGCAUCAUUAAACUUUGGGGAUCGCCAUUAACAUUGAGGUCUAAAUGCACUCGGGCUGGUAGUGGUAUUGGAUACAGGUGAAGUCCCCUAGCAUGUGGAAGAGUGAAAAAGUGCUUUUGUCAUUGCGGAAUAUAAAGUCUUCAUAUCCUAAUGCACGCAGUAGCGAAGUCAGGAUUACCGCUAAGGGUGUUCAAAAAAGAAAAAAGUUAGAAAAGUUGUAGCUAGUGGGAAUAGAAUCAAUGACCUUACAAAUGUUUUGAACCCCUUUAACCACUAAGUUAUGCUUUUGGACCGUGUCAACGGGACUCAAAACAUAAUAUAUAGAGGUAAAAAUAAAUUUUGCCUUUUUAUAUACAGUGUAAUUUUUCGGCGAUAGGGGUUCAGAUGAACACCCUUUCGCCCCCUAAAUCCGCCCCUGAAUACACACAUUUAAUUUAUUCGGAGCUAUUAAAGUGGGAUCCAACUUUUGAGAAAUAUGAAUCGAAACAAUAACAAUAAUAGGAAGAUAGUGACGGACAUCAAGAGAUCCGACCGAAGUCACUGCUAAAAGUUGUGGUAGAAUGGUUAGGAUCCAUCCGGUUCCAAAUUCGAGCUCUAGAUAUGAAAAUAAUUCUGGUAGAAAAUGCUUCCCUUUUAAUGGUCUUUACACGAUGUAAAUCCACAUUUGUCGCCCUAAUGCGCCUACCAAACCCCGAUUGAGAAACCAAAAAAAUUGUACAAUCUCUAUGUUUUUCGGUUGACUUGGCAAGAGAAUUACAAGAGUUAGAAGUUAAAAAUGCCAAAAAUUAAAUUCAAAGGGAACAAACAAUAUAAAAUAAGUUCUAAAUUGAUCAAAUAAGAUUUUGGAGAAGACAGAAAAAAUUCAUGGAGUUUAAAGAAAUGUCAAACUAUGGCUUAAAAACUUCUGAAGGGUCAAAUGUAUGGUGAGUAGGAUCCACCCGAACAAAUUUUUAAUUGUUAUGUUAUUUUCAUAAUUAGUUAGUGCAGAGCACAAAAUUGCAUCUCA